This 2779-nucleotide ribosomal RNA is filed under the name Escherichia coli. RNAcentral describes it as "partial 23S ribosomal RNA". It matches the Rfam family "Bacterial large subunit ribosomal RNA". Lineage: Bacteria; Pseudomonadati; Pseudomonadota; Gammaproteobacteria; Enterobacterales; Enterobacteriaceae. The record is from RNAcentral.
GGGUUGUGAGGUUAAGCGACUAAGCGUACACGGUGGAUGCCCUGGCAGUCAGAGGCGAUGAAGGACGUGCUAAUCUGCGAUAAGCGUCGGUAAGGUGAUAUGAACCGUUAUAACCGGCGAUUUCCGAAUGGGGAAACCCAGUGUGUUUCGACACACUAUCAUUAACUGAAUCCAUAGGUUAAUGAGGCGAACCGGGGGAACUGAAACAUCUAAGUACCCCGAGGAAAAGAAAUCAACCGAGAUUCCCCCAGUAGCGGCGAGCGAACGGGGAGCAGCCCAGAGCCUGAAUCAGUGUGUGUGUUAGUGGAAGCGUCUGGAAAGGCGCGCGAUACAGGGUGACAGCCCCGUACACAAAAAUGCACAUGCUGUGAGCUCGAUGAGUAGGGCGGGACACGUGGUAUCCUGUCUGAAUAUGGGGGGACCAUCCUCCAAGGCUAAAUACUCCUGACUGACCGAUAGUGAACCAGUACCGUGAGGGAAAGGCGAAAAGAACCCCGGCGAGGGGAGUGAAAAAGAACCUGAAACCGUGUACGUACAAGCAGUGGGAGCACGCUUAGGCGUGUGACUGCGUACCUUUUGUAUAAUGGGUCAGCGACUUAUAUUCUGUAGCAAGGUUAACCGAAUAGGGGAGCCGAAGGGAAACCGAGUCUUAACUGGGCGUUAAGUUGCAGGGUAUAGACCCGAAACCCGGUGAUCUAGCCAUGGGCAGGUUGAAGGUUGGGUAACACUAACUGGAGGACCGAACCGACUAAUGUUGAAAAAUUAGCGGAUGACUUGUGGCUGGGGGUGAAAGGCCAAUCAAACCGGGAGAUAGCUGGUUCUCCCCGAAAGCUAUUUAGGUAGCGCCUCGUGAAUUCAUCUCCGGGGGUAGAGCACUGUUUCGGCAAGGGGGUCAUCCCGACUUACCAACCCGAUGCAAACUGCGAAUACCGGAGAAUGUUAUCACGGGAGACACACGGCGGGUGCUAACGUCCGUCGUGAAGAGGGAAACAACCCAGACCGCCAGCUAAGGUCCCAAAGUCAUGGUUAAGUGGGAAACGAUGUGGGAAGGCCCAGACAGCCAGGAUGUUGGCUUAGAAGCAGCCAUCAUUUAAAGAAAGCGUAAUAGCUCACUGGUCGAGUCGGCCUGCGCGGAAGAUGUAACGGGGCUAAACCAUGCACCGAAGCUGCGGCAGCGACGCUUNNNNNNNNNNNNNNNNNNNNNNNNNNNNNNNNNNNNUGAAGGUGUGCUGUGAGGCAUGCUGGAGGUAUCAGAAGUGCGAAUGCUGACAUAAGUAACGAUAAAGCGGGUGAAAAGCCCGCUCGCCGGAAGACCAAGGGUUCCUGUCCAACGUUAAUCGGGGCAGGGUGAGUCGACCCCUAAGGCGAGGCCGAAAGGCGUAGUCGAUGGGAAACAGGUUAAUAUUCCUGUACUUGGUGUUACUGCGAAGGGGGGACGGAGAAGGCUAUGUUGGCCGGGCGACGGUUGUCCCGGUUUAAGCGUGUAGGCUGGUUUUCCAGGCAAAUCCGGAAAAUCAAGGCUGAGGCGUGAUGACGAGGCACUACGGUGCUGAAGCAACAAAUGCCCUGCUUCCAGGAAAAGCCUCUAAGCAUCAGGUAACAUCAAAUCGUACCCCAAACCGACACAGGUGGUCAGGUAGAGAAUACCAAGGCGCUUGAGAGAACUCGGGUGAAGGAACUAGGCAAAAUGGUGCCGUAACUUCGGGAGAAGGCACGCUGAUAUGUAGGUGAAGUCCCUUGCGGAUGGAGCUGAAAUCAGUCGAAGAUACCAGCUGGCUGCAACUGUUUAUUAAAAACACAGCACUGUGCAAACACGAAAGUGGACGUAUACGGUGUGACGCCUGCCCGGUGCCGGAAGGUUAAUUGAUGGGGUCAGCGCAAGCGAAGCUCUUGAUCGAAGCCCCGGUAAACGGCGGCCGUAACUAUAACGGUCCUAAGGUAGCGAAAUUCCUUGUCGGGUAAGUUCCGACCUGCACGAAUGGCGUAAUGAUGGCCAGGCUGUCUCCACCCGAGACUCAGUGAAAUUGAACUCGCUGUGAAGAUGCAGUGUACCCGCGGCAAGACGGAAAGACCCCGUGAACCUUUACUAUAGCUUGACACUGAACAUUGAGCCUUGAUGUGUAGGAUAGGUGGGAGGCUUGGAAGUGUGGACGCCAGUCUGCAUGGAGCCGACCUUGAAAUACCACCCUUUAAUGUUUGAUGUUCUAACGUUGACCCGUAAUCCGGGUUGCGGACAGUGUCUGGUGGGUAGUUUGACUGGGGCGGUCUCCUCCUAAAGAGUAACGGAGGAGCACGAAGGUUGGCUAAUCCUGGUCGGACAUCAGGAGGUUAGUGCAAUGGCAUAAGCCAGCUUGACUGCGAGCGUGACGGCGCGAGCAGGUGCGAAAGCAGGUCAUAGUGAUCCGGUGGUUCUGAAUGGAAGGGCCAUCGCUCAACGGAUAAAAGGUACUCCGGGGAUAACAGGCUGAUACCGCCCAAGAGUUCAUAUCGACGGCGGUGUUUGGCACCUCGAUGUCGGCUCAUCACAUCCUGGGGCUGAAGUAGGUCCCAAGGGUAUGGCUGUUCGCCAUUUAAAGUGGUACGCGAGCUGGGUUUAGAACGUCGUGAGACAGUUCGGUCCCUAUCUGCCGUGGGCGCUGGAGAACUGAGGGGGGCUGCUCCUAGUACGAGAGGACCGGAGUGGACGCAUCACUGGUGUUCGGGUUGUCAUGCCAAUGGCACUGCCCGGUAGCUAAAUGCGGAAGAGAUAAGUGCUGAAAGCAUCUAAGCACGAAACUUG